UGGGGAAUCUUCCGCAAUGGGUGAAAGCCUGACGGAGCAACGCCGCGUGAGGGAUGAAGGCCUCUGGGCUGUAAACCUCUUUUAUCAAGGAAGAAGAUCUGACGGUACUUGAUGAAUAAGCCACGGCUAAUUCCGUGCCAGCAGCCGCGGUAAUACGGGAGUGGCAAGCGUUAUCCGGAAUUAUUGGGCGUAAAGCGUCCGCAGGCGGCCCUUCAAGUCUGCUGUUAAAAAGUGGAGCUUAACUCCAUCAUGGCAGUGGAAACUGUUGGGCUUGAGUGUGGUAGGGGCAGAGGGAAUUCCCGGUGUAGCGGUGAAACGCGUAGAUAUCGGGAAGAACACCAGUGGCGAAGGCGCUCUGCUGGGCCAUCACUGACGCUCAUGGACGAAAGCCAGGGGAGCGAAAGGGAUUAGAUACCCCUGUAGU
This 424-nucleotide ribosomal RNA is filed under the name uncultured cyanobacterium. Its description in RNAcentral is "bacterial SSU rRNA". It matches the Rfam family "Bacterial small subunit ribosomal RNA", at positions 355 to 794 of the family's 1533-position model. Lineage: Bacteria; Bacillati; Cyanobacteriota. The record is from RNAcentral.